RNAcentral lists this ribosomal RNA (497 nucleotides) under uncultured bacterium. RNAcentral's name for it is "partial 16S ribosomal RNA". It matches the Rfam family "Bacterial small subunit ribosomal RNA", at positions 28 to 507 of the family's 1533-position model. The record is from RNAcentral.
GAUGAACGCUGGCGGCGUGCCUAAUACAUGCGAGUCGAGCGAACGGACGAGAAGCUUGCUUCUCUGAUGUUAGCGGCGGACGGGUGAGUAACACGUGGAUAACCUACCUAUAAGACUGGGAUAACUUCGGGAAACCGGAGCUAAUACCGGAUGAUAUUUUGAACCGCAUGGUUCAAAAGUGAAAGACGGUCUUGCUGUCACUUAUAGAUGGAUCCGCGCUGCAUUAGCUAGUUGGUAAGGUAACGGCUUACCAAGGCAACGAUGCAUAGCCGACCUGAGAGGGUGAUCGGCCACACUGGAACUGAGACACGGUCCAGACUCCUACGGGAGGCAGCAGUAGGGAAUCUUCCGCAAUGGGCGAAAGCCUGACGGAGCUACGCCGCGUGAGUGAUGAAGGUCUUCGGAUCGUAAAACUCUGUUAUUAGGGAAGAACAUAUGUGUAAGUAACUGUGCACAUCUUGACGGUACCUAAUCAGAAAGCCACGGCUAACUACGUG